UACUCUCAUGUUAUUGUUUACUCUGAAUUGCUAGAGACUAGCAAUAAGCUAGUUGGGGGGUAUGAUGAGAGCACAAAAGUGCGAUCUAAGUACCAAUUAACUUAGCCUAAUGCUAGCAAAAUAAUGAUAAAUAAUAGGUGUUAACAUUUACAUGAUUAAAUAUUUUAUCCUUAGCACUUAUUAUAAUUUUUAUCAUUAUAUAAAGUCAUCUCUUUCCAGCUACAGAACAGAGCCCAGAUUCAGCCGUUCGCAAGCACCUCAGCAUCCUUGCCGCGUCCGUGAACCACAUCAGCCCUCUCAAGAUCCGCCUGCGUCUCAGGAUCUGUGAUCGAAUCACACUGCGAUCAGGACUUUCUCCCGUGCGUCCAUGAAGCAUCCAGCCGUCCACGGUUCAUCUCCCAUAUCCUGCAUCCGAGUCCCAGUUCACACCAUCGGUCAGCGUCCGCAUGUGAUCAGCUCCCAGCAUUCAUCAUCUCCCGAGCAACUCGCUUCCCA
Molecule: long non-coding RNA, 495 nt
Filed under: Phoenix dactylifera (date palm)
Lineage: Eukaryota; Viridiplantae; Streptophyta; Magnoliopsida; Arecales; Arecaceae
Description: long non-coding RNA (PDAC_LNC007549)
Source: RNAcentral